GUUUUGGUUUCAAUAGUUUAGGAAUAAGGGGCCAAUAAAGGGCCCAAAUAAGCAUUUUUCUUGGUUUUUGCACAAUAACCUUAGGUUAAGUAAAUGGAAAUCUAUGAAAUUUAAACACAAUGUUUAUGACCACAAAAGGAAGGUUGGUAUAUAUUUUGGGAGUUUAGGACCCAACAGAUUAGGAAUUAGGGGCCAAAAAGGGACCCAAAUAAGCAUUUUUCUUGGUUUUCGCACUAUAAUGUUAGUAUAAGUAAAUACAAAUCUAUGAAAUUUAAACACAAGGCUUAUGACCAUAAAAGGAAGGUUGGUAUUGAUUUUGGGAGUUUUUGGUCCCAACAGUUUAGGAAAAAGGGGCCCAAAGGGUCCAAAAUUAAACUUUGUUUGAUUUCAUCAAAAUUGAAUAAUUGGGGUUCUUUGAUAUGCCGA
RNAcentral lists this long non-coding RNA (426 nucleotides) under Mytilus galloprovincialis (Mediterranean mussel). The record is from RNAcentral. Lineage: Eukaryota; Metazoa; Mollusca; Bivalvia; Mytilida; Mytilidae.